This 444-nucleotide ribosomal RNA is filed under the name uncultured bacterium. Its description in RNAcentral is "bacterial SSU rRNA". It matches the Rfam family "Bacterial small subunit ribosomal RNA", at positions 331 to 792 of the family's 1533-position model. The record is from RNAcentral.
CCAGACUCCUACGGGAGGCAGCAGUGGGGAAUAUUGCACAAUGGGGGGAACCCUGAUGCAGCGAUGCCGCGUGGAGGAAGAAGGUUUUCGGAUUGUAAACUCCUUUUAUCAGGGACGAUAAUGACGGUACCUGAAGAAAAAGCUCCGGCUAACUACGUGCCAGCAGCCGCGGUAAUACGUAGGGAGCGAGCGUUGUCCGGAAUUACUGGGUGUAAAGGGAGCGUAGGCGGGACGGCAAGUCAGAUGUGAAAACUGAGGGCUCAACCCAUAGCCUGCAUUUGAAACUGUACUUCUUGAGUGCUGGAGAGGCAAUCGGAAUUCCGUGUGUAGCGGUGAAAUGCGUAGAUAUACGGAGGAACACCAGUGGCGAAGGCGGAUAACUGGACGGCAACUGACGGUGAGGCGCGAAAGCGUGGGGAGCAAACAGGAUUAGAUACCCUAGUA